GACGAACGCUGGCGGCGUACUUAACACAUGCAAGUCGAACGGAAAGGCCCUGCUUUUGUGGGGUGCUCGAGUGGCGAACGGGUGAGUAACACGUGAGUAACCUGCCCUUGACUUUGGGAUAACUUCAGGAAACUGGGGUUAAUACCGGAUAGGAGCUCCUGCUGCAUGGUGGGGGUUGGAAAGUUUCGGCGGUUGGGGAUGGACUCGCGGCUUAUCAGCUUGUUGGUGGGGUAGUGGCUUACCAAGGCUUUGACGGGUAGCCGGCCUGAGAGGGUGACCGGCCACAUUGGGACUGAGAUACGGCCCAGACUCCUACGGGAGGCAGCAGUGGGGAAUAUUGCACAAUGGGCGGAAGCCUGAUGCAGCAACGCCGCGUGCGGGAUGACGGCCUUCGGGUUGUAAACCGCUUUCGCCUGUGACGAAGCGUGAGUGACGGUAAUGGGUAAAGAAGCACCGGCUAACUACGUG
RNAcentral lists this ribosomal RNA (468 nucleotides) under uncultured bacterium. Its description in RNAcentral is "partial 16S ribosomal RNA". It matches the Rfam family "Bacterial small subunit ribosomal RNA", at positions 28 to 507 of the family's 1533-position model. The record is from RNAcentral.